GACGAACGCUGGCGGCGUGCUUAACACAUGCAAGUCGAACGGUAAGGCCCUUCGGGGUACACGAGUGGCGAACGGGUGAGUAACACGUGGGUGAUCUGCCCUGCACUUCGGGAUAAGACUGGGAAACUGGGUCUAAUACCGGAUAGGACCAUUGCCUGCAUGGGUGGUGGUGGAGAGCUUUUGCGGUGUGGGAUGGGCCCGCGGCCUAUCAGCUUGUUGGUGGGGUGAUGGCCUACCAAGGCGACGACGGGUAGCCGGCCUGAGAGGGUGACCGGCCACACUGGGACUGAGAUACGGCCCAGACUCCUACGGGAGGCAGCAGUGGGGAAUAUUGCACAAUGGGCGCAAGCCUGAUGCAGCGACGCCGCGUGAGGGAUGACGGCCUUCGGGUUGUAAACCUCUUUCAGCACCGACGAAGCGCAAGUGACGGUAGGUGCAGAAGAAGGACCGGCCAACUACGUGCCAGCCGCCGCCGUAA
Molecule: ribosomal RNA, 478 nt
Filed under: uncultured bacterium
Lineage: Bacteria
Description: partial 16S ribosomal RNA
Rfam family: Bacterial small subunit ribosomal RNA
Source: RNAcentral